This is a non-coding RNA of Armillaria luteobubalina, 93 nucleotides long. The record is from the annotation of a GenBank genome assembly. Lineage: Eukaryota; Fungi; Basidiomycota; Agaricomycetes; Agaricales; Physalacriaceae.
UCGGAUAUGGUGUAACGGCUAACAUUGCCGCCUCUCAUGGAUCUAGGUUGAUCAUAUACGCGGCAGCUCGGGGUUCGAUUCCCCGUAUCCGAA